GUGUCAGCCGCCGCGGUAAUACGUAGGGGGCAAGCGUUAUCCGGAUUUACUGGGUGUAAAGGGAGCGUAGACGGCAGGGCAAGUCUGAAGUGAAAGCCCGGGGCUCAACCCCGGGACUGCUUUGGAAACUGUCCGGCUGGAGUGCAGGAGAGGUAAGUGGAAUUCCUAGUGUAGCGGUGAAAUGCGUAGAUAUUAGGAGGAACACCAGUGGCGAAGGCGGCUUACUGGACUGUAACUGACGUUGAGGCUCGAAAGCGUGGGGAGCAAACAGGAUUAGAUACCCUGGUAGUCCACGCCGUAAACGAUGAUUACUAGGUGUCGGGGGUUAUUGAACCUUCGGUGCCGCAGCAAACGCAAUAAGUAAUCCACCUGGGGAGUACGUUCGCAAGAAUGAAACUUAAAGGAAUUGGCGG
RNAcentral lists this ribosomal RNA (413 nucleotides) under uncultured bacterium. RNAcentral's name for it is "bacterial SSU rRNA". It matches the Rfam family "Bacterial small subunit ribosomal RNA", at positions 505 to 916 of the family's 1533-position model. The record is from RNAcentral.